UCCAAAAUCACUGCCUCUGAAGUGAGAAUC
This 30-nucleotide non-coding RNA is filed under the name Homo sapiens (human). The record is from RNAcentral. Lineage: Eukaryota; Metazoa; Chordata; Mammalia; Primates; Hominidae.